UACGAAGGGGGCUAGCGUUGCUCGGAAUCACUGGGCGUAAAGCGCACGUAGGCGGCUUGUUAAGUCAGGGGUGAAAUCCUGGAGCUCAACUCCAGAACUGCCUUUGAUACUGGCGAGCUUGAGUCCGGGAGAGGUGAGUGGAACUGCGAGUGUAGAGGUGAAAUUCGUAGAUAUUCGCAAGAACACCAGUGGCGAAGGCGGCUCACUGGCCCGGUACUGACGCUGAGGUGCGAAAGCGUGGGGAGCAAACAGG
RNAcentral lists this ribosomal RNA (253 nucleotides) under uncultured bacterium. Its description in RNAcentral is "partial 16S ribosomal RNA". It matches the Rfam family "Bacterial small subunit ribosomal RNA", at positions 524 to 776 of the family's 1533-position model. The record is from RNAcentral.